RNAcentral lists this long non-coding RNA (658 nucleotides) under Hordeum vulgare. Its description in RNAcentral is "long non-coding RNA (HVUL_LNC012139)". The record is from RNAcentral. Lineage: Eukaryota; Viridiplantae; Streptophyta; Magnoliopsida; Poales; Poaceae.
GUGUGAUGAUCAUUAUUAUUAGGGCACUGUCUCAAUGAGGAAAAGAUGAUGGAGACAAUGAUUCCCCCACAAGUCGGGAUGAGACUCCGGACAAAAAAUGAAAGAAAAAAAGAAAUGAAAGAGAGAGACAAAGAAAAAGAAAUAAAUGAGAAAAAAGAGAGAAGGGACUGUGCUACUACCUCUUUUUCCACACUUGUGCCUCGAAGUGGCACCAUGUUCUUCAUAUAGAGAGUCUCUUGUUUUGACACUUCCAUAAGCUAGUGAAAAUGUUUCAUUAUAGAGAUUGGCUUGUAUGUUCUGAUGAAGGGCUUCCUCCAAUGCUCGAGGACUUCAUGAGCACACCCACUUACCUUCAGUUGAGCUUUCAUACACUUAUAGCUCUAGUGCAUCCGUUGCAUGCCAAUGCCUACUCCAAUCAUUGUUAUAUAUUGAUGGGCAUCUUCAUAUACGUUGAAACGCCUAGUUGAUGCGAGACUUUCUUCCCCACUUUCACUCCUUUAAAAACUACCACCAUAUUAUAUUUCAUCCUUAUGCUAUAUACAUGAUUCACACCCAUAUAUUGAGUGAGUAAUAAAAAGCUGAAGCGCGUUAAAGAGUACGAUUCAAUUGCCUGACUUGACACCGUGGUGCUUAACAUUUAUACUUAUGUGGUGAAGAC